AUGCUGCCGCUCCCAGAGGAUCAUCAGAGACAUCUCCACAGCCCCUGCACCACAGGCUCUUCCCUAGCCCUGGGACCACCCUCCCUCCCCGGGCUGAGGGAAGUAUCCCCAACCCUACUUCGUGCAGCGAACCACAGUCUGGCACUCAUCCAUGGUACCCCUUGAAACAGUGAGGAAACAAUUUCCGGUCUUACUGGAGGACCUGGAAGUUCUAGAUUUUCUAGGUUUCCUCAGGGUUGCACUGCUCAGUGUGGAACACUUGCAGUGAAAUGGCGAUGACUACUGAAUGUGUGCUGAGUGCAGUAUACACCAAGUACUCUACACAUCUAUAUGCAGUCAGAGACCAGUGAAUCUUGCCAGAAUGUACAAUGUUAGAAGGAAUGCUAAAAGCACAUUCCAAACCCAGAAGAACAUGCAUGAAAAAGUGUGAAUUCAGAAGAACCCGAGGAGUUAAUGAAAAUUAAGAUGGAGGAGUCUGGUUUUUAAGAUUGCACAUAGCAGGGAAGAAGAUGAAUAACUAGAGCUGAUAAACCUUUAAGGUUAAUUCAGGUUUUUUUUACUUUGUUUGAGGCUAGAACUGAGAUAUAGGAACUUAAGCUAAAAAAGCAUGCUGUUACAUGGCUCAUCUAAGACACACUGGUGGAGGCUGUUCCUCAACAGCCAGGUUCUCACCACACCGAGUGAUGUCUCUGACUUU
Molecule: long non-coding RNA, 697 nt
Organism: Lepidothrix coronata (blue-crowned manakin)
Lineage: Eukaryota; Metazoa; Chordata; Aves; Passeriformes; Pipridae
Exons: 3
Source: RefSeq, a predicted model, not a curated record